Lolium perenne is the source of this 334-nucleotide non-coding RNA. The record is from RefSeq and is a predicted model, not a curated record. NCBI's taxonomy places the organism in Eukaryota, Viridiplantae, Streptophyta, Magnoliopsida, Poales, Poaceae.
GGGGAAGGGGCACCGGAAGCGCAAUUGCCCCAAAUACUUGGCCGAUCUGAAGAGCGGCCACGUCAAAAAGAAAGGAACUGCGGAAUAGACGAAGCCUGGCAAGAGACGAGGUGACGAUGCGCGUUGGAAAUGGAUCCAAAGUCGAUGUGAUCGCUGUCGGCACGCUCCCUCUACAUCUACCUUCGGGAUUAGUUUUAAACCUUAAUAAUUGUUAUUUGGUACCUGCGUUGAGCAUGAACAUUGUAUCUGGAUCUUGUUUAAUGCAAGACGGUUAUUCGUUUAAGUCUGAGAAUAAUGGUUGUUCGAUUUAUAUGAGUAAUGUCUUUUAUGGCCA